This is a regulatory RNA element of Rhodobacteraceae bacterium SB2, 87 nucleotides long. It matches the Rfam family "Glycine riboswitch aptamer". Rfam says of the family: This family represents the bacterial glycine riboswitch. Glycine riboswitches usually consist of two metabolite-binding aptamers domains with similar structures in tandem. NCBI's taxonomy places the organism in Bacteria, Pseudomonadati, Pseudomonadota, Alphaproteobacteria, Rhodobacterales, Paracoccaceae. The record is from Rfam.
UUUAUCAGAACGGGAGAACUGGAUAAACCAGUGCCGAAGGAGCAACCGCCCCCGGAAACUCUCAGGCAGCAGGACCGCUCUGAACAA